Molecule: unclassified non-coding RNA, 341 nt
Filed under: soil metagenome
Description: partial contains 5.8S ribosomal RNA, internal transcribed spacer 2, and large subunit ribosomal RNA
Rfam family: 5.8S ribosomal RNA (bases 1-120)
Source: RNAcentral
GAUGAAGAACGCAGCAAAAUGCGAUAAGUAAUGUGAAUUGCAGAAUUCAGUGAAUCAUCGAAUCUUUGAACGCACAUUGCGCCCGCCAGUAUUCUGGCGGGCAUGCCUGUUCGAGCGUCAUUUCAACCCUCAAGCCCCCGGGUUUGGUGUUGGGGAUCGGGCUGUACUCCAGCCCGGCCCCGAAAUCUAGUGGCGGUCUCGCUGCAGCCUCCAUUGCGUAGUAGCUAACACCUCGCAACUGGAACGCGGCGCGGCCAAGCCGUUAAACCCCCAACUUCUGAAUGUUGACCUCGGAUCAGGUAGGAAUACCCGCUGAACUUAAGCAUAUCAAAAGCGGAGGA